This 2519-nucleotide long non-coding RNA is filed under the name Brassica napus (rape). RNAcentral describes it as "long non-coding RNA (BNAP_LNC014123)". The record is from RNAcentral. Lineage: Eukaryota; Viridiplantae; Streptophyta; Magnoliopsida; Brassicales; Brassicaceae.
AUUGUAUUAAAAUAGUUGGACCACACAUAUAUCAAUAUGUCAUGUUGCUGUUUUAAUAGAAUAGAUGCCAUAUGUGUCAGAAUUUUACUGGCCAAGUGACUUGUGAUUUAGUAUAUAAAGGUUAAGUCUAUACGUAUGAAAUGUUUAUACAUAUAAUAUUAAGAAGAUAUCAAUCUAUGAUUCUCUGUAUAUUUAACUUACCUUAUAUUAUCUUCUAUACUCAGUAUAUAUUUGUACAUUCUCUAUCAAUACAAUCAUCAUUUCCACUGUAUAGGUAUCAGAGCCAUCGAUACCCUAAAAAUUAUGUCUCAAACCUGGCCGCCCAUCCCUUUCUUCUUCCCUAAACUAUCGCUUCAAUGGAAGCUAACAACCUUCCCCAAAACGGUGAAACCAUUCACACACUCUCCCAAACACUCUUCAGCGUUAACACAUCUAACGUUACAAAAUUGCCUCUACAAACUAUCUUAUGUGGAGUCUAUAGAUUCAUGCCCUCUUAGAUGGCUAUGAUCUUUCUGGAUAUCUGGAUCUACAAUCAUUCCAACUCCAAAUCUUACUGUCAACGUAAAGCUUACCGUCAACCCUACGUUCGCCAUUUGGAAGAGACAAGAUAAACUUAUCUUCAGUGCCUUACUUGGCACCAUCUCUACUACCAUCCAGCCUGUGGUAUCGCGAGCCACAACAUCCGCUCAGAUCUAGCAGACUCUUGCAUCUACGUAUGCAAAACCGAGCCGAACACACAUCAAGCAACUGAGGAAUCAAAUGAAACUUUGGGCCAAAGGAACCCGCACCAUUGACGAGUACUUUCAAGGUUUUACGACAAGGAUCGAUUAACUCGCCAUCCUUGGAAAGCCGCUUGAACUCGAAGAUCAAAUAGAGUUUAUUCUUGAAGGGCUUCUUGAAGAGUACAAGCCAAUAGUUGCUCAAGUUGAAGGAAGAGACACGCCACCUUCUCUUACUGAGUUACAUGAGCGUCUUCUAAAUCAUGAAAUCAAGCUUCUCACCAACGCUUCUUCCACUCAUCUUCCGGUCUCAGCCAACGUUGUUUACAACAACAACAAUGCAAUUCCUCACGCUCAACUCCUCGUCAGAAUCAUCGACAACAAAGCAACUGGAGUGACAAUAACCUUAAGCAGUAUAAUCGCUCUGGUAAUCGUCAAGGGCCAAGACCAUAUCUCAGAAAAUGUCAGUUCUGUAACACUCAAGGUCACAGUGCACGUCGCUGUCCGCAACUCCAGAGUCUGAAACAAAGUGUUGCGUCUCCAUUUCUGAAUGCUGCAACUAUGCUGUGGAAACCAAGAGCCAAUGCAGCAAUGGUCUCGCCCUACUCAGCAAACAAUUUAGGGGUGGGCAAAAAAUCCGAACCAAACCAAACCAAAUCGACCCAACCAAACCUAAACCGAUCCAAACCAAACUGAAGUACAUGUCUAACCCAUUUGGUUCAAGAUUUUAUCAACCCAAAUGGUUCGGUUUGGUUUGGUUUUAAACUGAACCAAACCAAAAAACAUAAGUAUUUUUUAAUUAGAUUAAUUAAAUAUACUAAUAAUAUUAAGAUUUAAUAUAUUUAACCAUUUAGCCUAAACAACUAAACAUAAUUUUAUACAUUUUACUUUUAAAUGAAUAGAAUAAGCACAACUAAAAAUAAACUAAAAGAAUAUAAAUCUCAUACAUUAACAUCAAAAUGGAAAAGUUCGUGGAAUGGUAAUGGAGAAAAUAUAGGGAUUUAGACUUUAGUUAUUUGAAACUUCAGAAAUUUUAGGAAGAAAAUUAAUUUGUUUGUCGACAUUUUUUAAGAAAUUUUUGUAAAACAAACUAGAUUCUGACCUGCCUUUUUACAUUUUUUGUUUUACAUUUUUUUAGAAAUUUAAUUUUUAUAUUUGUGUUUUUAGUCAUAUUUUUGUUUUUUUGUAUAAUAUUUCUCUUAAAUGAUUAAUAAGAGGUUUUAAUAAUUGUAUUAAAAUAGUUGGACCACACAUAUAUCAAUAUGUCAUGUUGCUGUUUUAAUAGAAUAGAUGCCAUAUGUGUCAGAAUUUUACUGGCCAAGUGACUUGUGAUUUAGUAUAUAAAGGUUAAGUCUAUACGUAUGAAAUGUUUAUACAUAUAAUAUUAAGAAGAUAUCAAUCUAUGAUUCUCUGUAUAUUUAACUUACCUUAUAUUAUCUUCUAUACUCAGUAUAUAUUUGUACAUUCUCUAUCAAUACAAUCAUCAUUUCCACUGUAUAGGUAUCAGAGCCAUCGAUACCCUAAAAAUUAUGUCUCAAACCUGGCCGCCCAUCCCUUUCUUCUUCCCUAAACUAUCGCUUCAAUGGAAGCUAACAACCUUCCCCAAAACGGUGAAACCAUUCACACACUCUCCCAAACACUCUUCAGCGUUAACACAUCUAACGUUACAAAAUUGCCUCUACAAACUAUCUUAUGUGGAGUCUAUAGAUUCAUGCCCUCUUAGAUGGCUAUGAUCUUUCUGGAUAUCUGGAUCUACAAUCAUUCCAACUCCAAAUCUUACUGUCAACGUAAAGCUUACCG